GGCCCUACGGGGCGCAGCAGGCGCGAAAACUUUGCAAUGCGGGAAACCGUGACAAGGGAACUCUGAGUGCCCGUAAAAUCGGGCUGUCCAUUGGUGUAAAAAACCAGUGAAGAAAGGGCCGGGCAAGACCGGUGCCAGCCGCCGCGGUAAUACCGGCGGCUCGAGUGGUGGCCACUAUUACUGGGCUUAAAGCGUUCGUAGCUGGUCUGUUAAGUCUCUGGGGAAAUCUUCCGGCUUAACCGGAAGGCGUCUCAGGGAUACUGGCAGACUAGGACCGGAGAG
RNAcentral lists this ribosomal RNA (282 nucleotides) under uncultured Methanoregulaceae archaeon. RNAcentral's name for it is "partial 16S ribosomal RNA". It matches the Rfam family "Archaeal small subunit ribosomal RNA", at positions 319 to 605 of the family's 1478-position model. The record is from RNAcentral. Lineage: Archaea; Methanobacteriati; Methanobacteriota; Methanomicrobia; Methanomicrobiales; Methanoregulaceae.